This is a non-coding RNA of Merluccius polli (Benguela hake), 72 nucleotides long. The record is from the annotation of a GenBank genome assembly. Lineage: Eukaryota; Metazoa; Chordata; Actinopteri; Gadiformes; Merlucciidae.
GGGGAUGUAGCUCAAUGGUAGAGGGCUUGCUUUGCAUGUGUGAGGCCCCGGAUUCAAUCCUUGGCGUCUCCA